This 460-nucleotide ribosomal RNA is filed under the name uncultured bacterium. RNAcentral's name for it is "partial 16S ribosomal RNA". It matches the Rfam family "Bacterial small subunit ribosomal RNA", at positions 338 to 795 of the family's 1533-position model. The record is from RNAcentral.
CCUACGGGUGGCAGCAGUGAGGAAUAUUGGUCAAUGGUCGGGAGACUGAACCAGCCAAGUCGCGUGAGGGACGACGGUCCUAUGGAUUGUAAACCUCUUUUGUCAGGGAACAAAAAAUGCUACGCGUAGCAUGAUGAGUGUACCUGAAGAAAAAGCAUCGGCUAACUCCGUGCCAGCAGCCGCGGUAAUACGGAGGAUGCGAGCGUUAUCCGGAUUUACUGGGUUUAAAGGGUGGGCAGGCGGGAGUUCAAGUCAGCGGUGAAAACUAGGGGCUCAACCCCCGGCCUGCCGUUGAACCUGUUCUUCUUGAGUGGGGGAGAAGUAUGCGGAAUGCGGGGUGUAGCGGUGAAAUGCAUAGAUAUCGCGCAGAACUCCGAUGGCGAAGGCAGCAUGCCGGCGCGCAACUGACGCUGAGGCACGAAAGCGUGGGUAGCGAACAGGAUUAGAUACCCUUGUAGUC